Osmerus eperlanus (European smelt) is the source of this 629-nucleotide long non-coding RNA. RefSeq lists it as uncharacterized. The record is from RefSeq and is a predicted model, not a curated record. Lineage: Eukaryota; Metazoa; Chordata; Actinopteri; Osmeriformes; Osmeridae. The transcript is spliced from 3 exons.
ACACAGCACCGCCACAGAACUGGGCCGCUCCUGACCAGACCGGACUAGACUGGAAUCGAUUCAACUGGAUCUAAGUGGACUGGAAUAGGCAGGGCUAGGCUUGACUGGGCUAGGUUGGACUGGGUUGGGCUGGGUUGGGCUAGGUUGGGCUGGGUUGGACUGGGUUGGGCUGGACUGGACUAUGUUGGUUAAGGCUAGGCUGGGCUGGGCUGGGCUUCAAUAGUCUGGGCUAGGUUAUGUUGGGCUGGGCUAAGUUGGGCUGGACAGGGCUAGGCUAGGCUGGGCUAAACUCGUUUAAACUAGGCCAUGUUGGUCUGGGCUAGGCUAGGUUGGGCUCGGCCAGGCUGGGCUGUAGUAAACAGUACUGUACUGUGGUGUACAUGUGUUCUUCAUGGAACACAAAUGGGACUCGCCCGAGAGAGAGGGAAUAAGAGUGGGCUAUCUCCUGGGCUAUUUUUGUGGUGGUAAUUAAUUCAGUCAUAAAUGAUUAAAGUGUGUGUGUGCGUCUCCCUGUUUGUGUGUGCGUGCAUGCCUUUUUUGUGUGUGUGUGCGCGUGUGUGCCUUUGUGUGUGUGCGUGUGUGUGUGUGUACGCGUGUGCCUGUGUGUGUGCGCGUGUGCCUGUGUGUGU